GACGGAUCGCAUUAUGGCCUUUUGGUCGGCGAUGGAUCAUUCAAGUUUCUGACCUAUCAGCUUUCGACGGUACUGUAUUGGACUACCGUGGCAGUGACGGGUAACGGGGAAUUAGGGUUCGAUUCCGGAGAGGGAGCCUGAGAAACGGCUACCACAUCUAAGGAAGGCAGCAGGCGCGCAAAUUACCCAAUCCUGACUCAGGGAGGUAGUGACAAGAAAUAACAACACUGGAAAUUAUAUUUCUAGUGAUUGGAAUGAUGGGAAUCCAAACCCCUUUCAGAGUAACAAUUGGAGGGCAAGUCUGGUGCCAGCAGCCGCGGUAAUUCCAGCUCCAAUAGCGUAUAUUAAAGUUGUUGCAGUUAAAAAGCUCGUAGUUGGAUAUCUGCUGGAAGCAGCCAGUCCGCCCUUUGUGGGUGUGCACUUGGUGAAUUCUGGCAUCCUCCUGAUUGGUGUUAUCAUCACUUCAUUGUGUUGAUGGCAGCUGUCAGGACCGUUACUUUGAGAAAAUUAGAGUGUUUCAAGCAGGCUUGUUGCCUUGAAUACUGCAGCAUGGAAUAACAAGAUAGGAUUUCGGUUCUAUUUUGUUGGUUUCUAGGACUGAAGUAAUGAUUAAUAGGGACAGUUGGGGGCAUUCGUAUUUAACUGUCAGAGGUGAAAUUCUUAGAUUUGUUAAAGACGAACUACUGCGAAAGCAUUUGCCAAAGAUGUUUUCAUUAAUCAAGAACGAAAGUUAGGGGCUCGAAGACGAUCAGAUACCGUCGUAGUCUUAACCAUAAACUAUGCCGACUAGAGAUAGGAAAACGUCAUCCUUGACUCU
Molecule: ribosomal RNA, 817 nt
Filed under: Sarcocystis cf. falcatula
Lineage: Eukaryota; Apicomplexa; Conoidasida; Eucoccidiorida; Sarcocystidae
Description: SSU rRNA
Rfam family: Eukaryotic small subunit ribosomal RNA
Source: RNAcentral